GGCGCCCCGUUAAUGAAUCCUGCCGAGCCUGAGAGCCAGGUAGCUGUCUGCUAGCGGACAAAGGUCGCGAGCCUGAGGCUGGCUGGUUCAGGAUAUCAUUUAUGGAUUUUCCACGGACCGCCUCUCUUGGAGACCACCAACCGCGGGAGAAUGGGGUGAAGGCUAGGAAAAAUCAGGAAUCGGCAAGGAAAUGACAGACAGACACAAUAAGGUAUCUUUGAGUGUCUAUGGGGAUCCAAUGGGAGACCCCAUAGCAACGACUGGGAUCUUCCUUCUGAUCCUAGAAGAUGUUGUUAAUUCUACGGAUUUCAACAGAAUUGGAGAACAUGAACAGAACAGAGUUACCAGCAAGAGAGCCCAGGGAGAGCAUUAACAUGUUUGCCACCCAAGACCCCCCCCUCAGCCAGGGAGAUAUGCAAGGCCUACGAGCUGAAUGGAAAGGA
Long non-coding RNA from Arvicola amphibius (Eurasian water vole), 443 nucleotides. RefSeq lists it as uncharacterized. The transcript has 3 exons. NCBI's taxonomy places the organism in Eukaryota, Metazoa, Chordata, Mammalia, Rodentia, Cricetidae. The record is from RefSeq and is a predicted model, not a curated record.